GAUGAACGCUGGCGGCGUGCCUAAUACAUGCAAGUCGAACGCAUUGUGGUUGAAAUGAUAUGAAGAACUUGUUCAGAUUUGAUUUUCAACAUUGCAAUGAGUGGCGAACGGGUGAGUAACACGUGGGAAACCUACCUCUUAGCAGGGGAUAACAUUUGGAAACAAAUGCUAAUACCGUAUAAUAAUUAAACCGCAUGGUUUUAGUUUAAAAGAUGGUCUUGCUAUCACUAAGAGAUGGUCCCGCGGUGUAUUAGUUAGUUGGUGAGGUAAUGGCUCACCAAGACAAUGAUACAUAGCCGAGUUGAGAGACUGACCGGCCACAAUGGGACUGAGACACGGCCCAUACUCCUACGGGAGGCAGCAGUAGG
RNAcentral lists this ribosomal RNA (368 nucleotides) under uncultured bacterium. RNAcentral describes it as "bacterial SSU rRNA". It matches the Rfam family "Bacterial small subunit ribosomal RNA", at positions 28 to 358 of the family's 1533-position model. The record is from RNAcentral.